UCCCGCAACGAGCGCAACCCCUGCAUUCAGUUGCCAUCGGGUAAUGCCGGGCACUCUGGAAGGACUGCCAUCGACAAGAUGGAGGAAGGUGGGGAUGACGUCAAGUCAUCAUGGCCCUUAUGUCCAGGGCGACACACGUGCUACAAUGGCCGGCACAACGGGAAGCGAGUUCGCGAGGACGAGCGGAUCCCUCAAAGACCGGUCGCAGUUCGGAUUGAAGUCUGCAACUCGACUUCAUGAAGCUGGAAUCGCUAGUAAUCGUGGAUCAGCCAAGCCGCGGUGAAUACGUUCCCGGGCCUU
This 300-nucleotide ribosomal RNA is filed under the name uncultured Synergistaceae bacterium. Its description in RNAcentral is "bacterial SSU rRNA". It matches the Rfam family "Bacterial small subunit ribosomal RNA", at positions 1085 to 1382 of the family's 1533-position model. The record is from RNAcentral. Lineage: Bacteria; Thermotogati; Synergistota; Synergistia; Synergistales; Synergistaceae.